Molecule: microRNA precursor, 122 nt
Filed under: Arabidopsis thaliana (thale cress)
Lineage: Eukaryota; Viridiplantae; Streptophyta; Magnoliopsida; Brassicales; Brassicaceae
Also listed under: 2 other names
Description: microRNA MIR405
Rfam family: MIR405 microRNA precursor family
Source: RNAcentral
UUAACCAAUUUAACAACUCAACCGAUCAAAUGAAAUGAGUUAUGGGUUGACCCAACCCAUUUAACAAAAUGAGUUGGGUCAACCCAUAACUCAUUUAAGCCUAAACUCAUUUGAUUAUGAGU